AGCAGCUCACUGGGCAUAAAGCGUGCGCAGGCGGUUUUGUAAGACAGAGGUGAAAUCCCCGGGCUCAACCUGGGAACUGCCUUUGUGACUGUAAGGCUGGAGUGCGGCAGAGGGGGAUGGAAUUCCGCGUGUAGCAGUGAAAUGCGUAGAUAUGCGGAGGAACACCGAUGGCGAAGGCAAUCCCCUGGGCCUGCACUGACGCUCAUGCACGAAAGCGUGGGGAGCAAACA
This 230-nucleotide ribosomal RNA is filed under the name uncultured Alicycliphilus sp. RNAcentral describes it as "partial 16S ribosomal RNA". It matches the Rfam family "Bacterial small subunit ribosomal RNA", at positions 551 to 774 of the family's 1533-position model. The record is from RNAcentral. Lineage: Bacteria; Pseudomonadati; Pseudomonadota; Betaproteobacteria; Burkholderiales; Comamonadaceae.